GUGCCAGCCGCCGCGGUAAAACGUAGGAGCCAAGCGUUAUCCGAAUUCACUGGGCGUAAAGCGCGUGCAGGCGGUAUGGCAAGUUGGAUGUGAAAUCUCCCGGCUCAACUGGGAGAGGCCGUUCAAUACUGCCAAACUAGAGGGCGACAGAGGGAGGUGGAAUUCCGGGUGUAGUGGUGAAAUGCGUAGAUAUCCGGAGGAACACCAGAGGCGAAGGCGACCUCCUGGGUCGAACCUGACGCUCAGACGCGAAAGCUAGGGGAGCAAACGGGAUUAGAAACCCUAGUAGUCC
Molecule: ribosomal RNA, 292 nt
Filed under: uncultured bacterium
Lineage: Bacteria
Description: partial 16S ribosomal RNA
Rfam family: Bacterial small subunit ribosomal RNA
Source: RNAcentral